Molecule: RNA transcript, 4923 nt
Organism: Scylla paramamosain (green mud crab)
Lineage: Eukaryota; Metazoa; Arthropoda; Malacostraca; Decapoda; Portunidae
Gene name: nascent polypeptide-associated complex subunit alpha, muscle-specific form-like
Exons: 8
Source: RefSeq, a predicted model, not a curated record
UCAGACCAGCAGAUUCCCACUGUUUAUCCACUGUUUGUGUUGAUGCAGUGUCUGGCCAGCCACUUGUGUGUAUGUAGGGGACUCAGACCAGCAGAUUCCCACUGUUUAUCCACUGUUUGUGUUGAUGCAGUGUCUGGCCAGCCACUAGUGUGUUUUGGGGACUCAGACCAGCAGAUUCCCACUGUUUAUCCACUGUUUGUGUUGAUGCAGUGUCUGGCCAGCCACUUGUGUGUAUGUAGGGGACUCAGACAAAUUUAUUUACUGUUCAGUGACCCGUUUGCAGGCACAGGGGUGUUGACGAGCUGGGUGUGCAGGAGACAGACAAUUAGAAAGGUUUACAGUUCAAAUGCUACAUGUAUCUUCAAAAUACAGAUAAUAAGUAGAUAAAUAUUGAAAUUAAUAUAAAAUACCAUUGUGUAUUUAACACUUAACCAAACUUAACCAACGUACACACACAAACGCUAACUCCGACAGUACCCUAACUACCUUGCCAUCCCGCAGGAGGCCACGUCAGAGGUGCCUGUGGUGGGGUCGCCAGUUCCGGAGUACGAGGUGGAGGAGGAAGAGGAAGAGGAGGACGAGGAGGAGGCACGGAUGAGGAAGAAGAAAAGAUCAUUAGCUGUAGCUCUCCCUCCAGCUGAUAAGGGGAUAUUAAUGAGGCCUUCCUACAGGUACUCUCCCAGCCGUGUCACAGCUGAUGAUGAUGAUGAUGAUGAUGAUGCCAUGCCCACCCCCAGCCUGAGCCACCCUCCACCCACCCCAGCCCUCACCAAGCCUCCUUCAGUACCCCUCCACACCACCACCACCACCACCAGCGACGCAACAGCCUCAUCUACCUCAGCCGGCCCACCCCCUGGCCCGACCCCCUCCCUGACAGUGGCCCCCCCACGGCAGGCAAGAAGAAGAAGGAGGAGAAAGUAUCAAUAAUCGUACAGAUUCGCGACGAGGAAUCCAGACUGAAACAGGCGCUGGGUUUAAAGAACAUAAUUUUCAACCCUUACGGUCCUGGCCUGGCCCCGAUUGCCAAGCUGCUGGACACCCCUGAGGAGCUGAAGCGUUUUGAGCCCAAGGGCUGCACCAUGAAGGUCCGGCCGGAGGAGAACGAGGCUCGGCUGAACAGAAACAAAGAACGGGGGCGCAGGGACAGGCCGGAGAGGGUCGACAGAAUGGACCGCCCCAGGGCAAAGGAGAAGGACAGACGCACGGACGCACAGGCCACGCAGGUCCGCUCCAUCCACCCACCCGUGCACAGAAAUGCUGGUAUCUCCACGUUGACAACUGGCCAGAGGAAGUAAGGACAGUACCUUGUGUCCCUGCCUCUGCUACCCCACCCCCUGCCCCGCCCCCUGCCCCAGCCCCCCCGCACACAAGUCGGCCAAGUCCAAGUGGGACUCUGACACAGAAGAGCAAGUGGACGGACAGAAGUGAGGGGAGAGAGAGAGGAGGAAGAGAAGGAGGAGAGGAAGGAAAAUAAAAAUAUAAUCAAGAAUUUGGAGGAAGAGGAAGACCAGGAGGUACAGGUGAAGGAAGAGGAGGAAGAGGAAUAGACUAUCCCAGAGAAGAUGAAGGAAGAGGAGGAAGAGGAGGAGGAGGAGGAGGAGGAAGAGAAGGAAGAGUGAGGCAAAGGUCUUCCCCGAUUGUUUGACCGAAGAAUACGAAGCUUUCCUUAUGAUGGUGGAUGGAGGAGGAGGAGGAGGAGGAGGAGGAGGAGGAGGAGGAGGAGGAGAGGAGAAAGAGGAGGAAGAGGAAGAGGAGGAGGAGGAAGGAAGAUGCAAGAGAGAGGUCACAUCACUAUAUAAAGAAGAGGAGGAAGACUACAUGAAAAUUGAAGAAGAGGAGGAGGAAAGAAGAAGAAAGAGGAUGAGAGAGGAGGAGGAGGAAGAGGAAGAGGAGAAGAAAGAACAGAAGACCCUGGAGAAGAUGAAGAAGAAGAGGAAGAAGCAAAUGAAGGAGAAGAGGAGGCAGAAGAAACUGGAAAAGAAGGCAAAGAAGAAGAGGAAGGAGAAAGAGAGGAAGAGGGUCAAGAGGAGGAGGAAGAGCAGUGAUAGUUCAGUACAAAUGGAGGAGGAGGAGGAGGAGGAGAGAAGACUUACAAGAGAUAAGAGGAAGAGGAAAUAAGAAUGGACUGCAAUAAGUGGCAGAGAGGAGGAGGAGGAGGACGAUAAACGCAUCACCUCGAGGAAGAAGAAGGAGGAGGAGGAGGAGGAAGAGGAAGAGGAACAAGAAGAGGGUAGAAGAUUCAGCAGACACUCGGAUAAUGGUGAAAGCCCCUCUUAUACUCCACCAAGAAGACUGCAAGAACAGGAGAAGGAAGAGGAGGAAGAGGAAGAAGAGGAGGAGGAAGAGGAGCCACUUUCCCCAUUGGCUCGGUUGGGGUCGAUAGCAAGGAGUCACCAAGGGAGUCAUCGCCAAAACGGGGCAGAACCGGGGCAUUCCGGGUCACCUCAGGGUCAGAGAGGAGCUACCCGGCCAGCGACACGUCUGGGUACUAUGACCUGACCCCGGACUCCUCCAGCGGGGCAUCCGGGGCAAAGACAUUCAAUUUAGAGGAUAUUCCGUACCCUACCAGAGAGAGUGAGAGGCACAGCCCCUCCAACAUGUCCCUCUCCUCCUCCUCCUCUGCCCCACCCACCCCGCCCCGCCCCCCACCCCAGACACCCUGGAUGCCAUCCCCAUUCCCCCACCCACCCUGGACCUCACCAACAUCCCCAAGCCGCCCGUCACCUUCACCAUCACCCCGCCAUCCCCCAUCCCCAGGCCCAAGAAGGACCCCCUGCCAAGACCCAAGCCCCCGGUCCCCCUUCCUCCCAUGGCAGCUGCCCCACUGCCCCCCUUAUCCGUCCCCUUGCCCUGCCCCACGCCUGCCCACAGGGAGGAGUCCCUACCAGCCUCGCCGCCCCGGGAGGUGCCCCCCAUCGGAGGGGCGCCGGUGUCCCCCGGGGGACAUGACAGCGACGACGACGAGCCCCCCGUCCUGCAUCCCCCGGCCCCCGAGCCCCGCCCCACCCACCACCAGCCACACCACCAUAUAGUGUGGUCACAUUAUUGUCAUCAUGAUCAGGCCGCCGCGGGCCGUGGUGGCGUGGCGCCGCGGCCUUCACCCUGCUCAUGACACACGAUUCCGCGCCGCCGGCCAGGGACCUCAGCACCGCCUUGAUUCGCGCUAACACUUACCAGGCCUUGGCUUCCUGCGGCCUUCACCCUGCUCAUGACACAUGAAUCCACGCCGGCCGGGACCUUACGCCUUCGAUUACUCCCGCAGCCCAGCCCGCCCCUACCACCACAGCCCGCACACCCUAGAGCGCCCCCCACAUGCUGGCCUCUUCCCUGCUUCACGGCCAGGCCAGAUGGCUACUCAGUGCCUGGCGUGGCGGCCUCAGGGCGUGGCAGCCGCCACACCCCCGAGGGCUCCCCGCCCCCAGACCACUGCCACGGCCCACACAUCCCAGAGCGCCCCCCACAUGCUGGCGGCUUCCCUGCUUCACCGCCAGGCCAGAUGGCUACUCAGGGUGUGGCGGCUGCCACACCCCCGAGGGCUCCCCGCCCCCAGACCACUGCCAGUACCACAGCCCCGUGGUGCAGUACCACAGCAGCAUCAGUCCUCCCUUCUCCCGCAGCCCCCCGUGGAGCCCCGAUGGGGGGCGCCGCGCCAGCCCCACAGGGUGGCGCAGUCCAUGCUACCAGCACCACCACCACCACCACUACACUGCCCCACCCCGCGACCGCUGGAGCCCCCAGUGCUCCCCACGCCGUGUUACCGUGUUACCCGCUCUCUGUUACCCUCUCCCCGGGGCGCCGCUCAUCACCCCCAGACCGCCGUGCCUCCCCGGAGCGGGGCCGCUCACCACCCAGCCGCUCCCCACGCUACUCCCCGCGCCAUUCCCAUUCCCGGGGGCUGAGGUCCCCCUGCCGCUCCCCCUCCCCACUGGGUGAGGUGUACCCCUACGAGCGGCGGGGCUGGGGCUGCGCAGCCAGGGAGUGGGAGGCUCUCACCACCACCAUCACAGCCCCAAGGCAGAGCAGAGAAAUAGGGAGGGCAAGGGCUAUGGGUACUCUCCCCCUGCCGGCAAUAUUUGAUGACGACCUCCGGAUCAUGAGCGAGGCAGAGAUGUUCUCCAUGGGGUUCCACAAGGGGGAGAACAGCGAGUCUCCCCCCACCCCCCUCGCUCCCCCUUCCCCAACACCCUCGACGCCAAGUCUUUGGGUACUCUCCCAGCCGUGUCACAGCUGAUGAUGAUGAUGCCACCCCCACCCCCAGCCUGAGCCACCCUCCACCCACCCCAGCCCUCACCAAGCCUCCUCCAGUAACCACCACCACCACCACCACCAGCGACGUAACACCCCACCCCACCCCUCCCCAGACCACAGGCAAGGUGACAGGCAAGGCAUGUGAGAUCCCAGACUGUUGGAUGUGACGCCACAAGACACAGGGCUUCGUAACACCAGUGCACGGUGAUCAAGACAACACUGGACCAGAAAGACGCAAAGUACAGGGAACAACACAGUGCUUCUUCAUUUUAGGUGAGCCAGAAUGAGCUUGUUAAACUGAGCGGCCUCUUCAAGUACCACUGGAACUGUUCGUCAGAGGAGGAGGAGGAGGUAAGGGAGUGCGCCAAGACCCUUUACAGCGGUGCAAAGGAGUGGAGGGAGAUGAGGAGAAAUUUGAAAGAGAACAGAAGUAGAAUGACAUCAGAUAGCAGGAGUCCUUAGGAUUUAGCACAAUAAGAUCAAUAAUUCUCUUACAUGAGUGACCUAAAGUAAGGCAGUUUAGUCUGGCCUAACUUAACUGAGCUACCUAUUUCUGUUAUGAGCUAAGAUAGGCUAUGUUAGGUUAUAUUAAAUUAUAUAAUUAUUAUUUUUUUUCAUCAUUAUUAUUAAAGAAAGGAAAUAGAACCGAGAAAAUAAAGUUAAAAAUUAUUGUUA